RNAcentral lists this ribosomal RNA (446 nucleotides) under uncultured bacterium. RNAcentral describes it as "bacterial SSU rRNA". It matches the Rfam family "Bacterial small subunit ribosomal RNA", at positions 330 to 793 of the family's 1533-position model. The record is from RNAcentral.
ACCAGACUCCUACGGGAGGCAGCAGUGGGGGAUAUUGCACAAUGGGGGGAACCCUGAUGCAGCGACGCCGCGUGGGUGAAGAAGCGCCUCGGCGCGUAAAGCCCUGUCAGCAGGGAAGAAAAUGACGGUACCUGAAGAAGAAGCCCCGGCUAACUACGUGCCAGCAGCCGCGGUAAUACGUAGGGGGCAAGCGUUAUCCGGAUUUACUGGGUGUAAAGGGGGCGCAGACGGCGAUGCAAGCCAGGAGUGAAAGCCCGGGGCCCAACCCCGGGACUGCUCUUGGAACUGCGUGGCUGGAGUGCAGGAGGGGCAGGCGGAAUUCCUGGUGUAGCGGUGAAAUGCGUAGAUAUCAGGAGGAACACCGGUGGCGAAGGCGGCCUGCUGGACUGCAACUGACGUUGAGGCUCGAAAGCGUGGGGAGCAAACAGGAUUAGAUACCCGUGUAC